Esox lucius (northern pike) is the source of this 2361-nucleotide long non-coding RNA. RefSeq lists it as uncharacterized. Lineage: Eukaryota; Metazoa; Chordata; Actinopteri; Esociformes; Esocidae. The transcript is spliced from 2 exons. The record is from RefSeq and is a predicted model, not a curated record.
CUCUUUCCUCUGUUUUCACUGUGCCCUCCAUCUCUUUGCUUAACUCUCUGUCUUGAGGACAUUGUUGAGUGAUAACCUUUGCACAACAACUCCAUCUCUCCACCUACCCGUCCAUUUUACAGAGCUGUUGGAGAAGAGAACAGAAUUGUUUGAGGUGAAGCAGCACAUACCCAAAAGACACUCCUCACCAACCACACCUGUGUUUCUGGAUCAUAUGGAAGCUAAAGCCAAGAGCGGGGCACAGGUCCCCAAGCCAUCCACUAAAGUAGGGAAGACAGAGAAUAAGGAGGCAUCUCAACCUAAAAAGGUUGACCCCACUCCAGUAGAGCCUCUAACCCCUGCAGUACCUGUAGAAGAGCUUCCAGUGGAGGAUGUAGCAGCUGAACCAGAGGGGGCAUCAGAGAGUGGAGUGGCAACAGAGCCCAGCACAGACUCCCUGGAAAGCCUGAAGCCUUUCCUCAUCGGUGGUGCCAUUAUUGCUGCUGGUGCCAUCCUGUUGGGGGCACUGUUGUUGGCACGGAGAAAUUAAUCACCAUAACUCAUUGAACGCUGUCAGUUGAUGGGUUGACUGGUCACUUGUUAAAUGGGUCAUAGACUAUCAUGCAGCUCGUAGAUAUGGGGAGUGGGCAGCCACUGUGUUUCUUAAUUUUAAUUUCAGUCUGACUUCACUUAUAGAGAAAAUAAACAUCAGUUAAACAUUUUAAUAACACAUUUGGGCUCUUGCUAGAAUACUUAUGUUAUCAAUUGCUCCACCCGUCCAAUUCCACCUGUUUAGAUCUACGUGCAAAUUAACUCAAACAGUUUCUUUGGACACAUAAAUAUACAGUUCCUAACUACCCUAUUAUUAACAUUUGGGUAUUUCUGGGUCUACUAAUGCAGUUCAAAUUAAAAGUAUUGAUUUGAAAAAUGUAAUAUAAAGUAGAAAGCAGGCAUACUCUUGUAAACAAGACAGUGCCUGAUAGUGUGUUAUGGGAUAUUUUUAUGCUCUUAUCACUUCUGCUGUGUUUCAUAUUAGAAAAUACAUUUUCCCUGCAGAUCCGAUGCAUUUUGAAACAACUGUUUCAGACCAGAAAAUAUUGUUAUAUAAAUUCAGGGGAUAUUGCAUUUUUAUGGCAAGUCUGAGUAGAUUAAGUCAGAUUGGCAAAGGAAGUAAUCUAGACAAGUAUGUGAUAUACUUGCAUUUCAGUCUCGAUUGAGGCUGAGUUAAUAACAUUUAUUCUCUUUAGUCUCCUCAAUCAAUGUGUACAGUGCGAUUAUAGUCAAGUCAUACCUGGCAGCCUGCCAGUGUUUAUGGCAGUGGUAAUUCAAAUGGAUUAUAAAACAAAAGAAUACACUAAAUGGCCAGACCUAUUACCAAAAAUAUAUUUCACUGUGUGUUAACACUGUGAUCCCCUGGUGUGUCCAUUGCUAAACUGUACCUCUCCCAUGCUUGCAUACUGUUGUUUCUCUGACUGGAAUAAUGGUAGAGCCUAUAUGUGUUAGUAAUACCUACAUAAUACAGUAACAGUGUAAGUGAAACUGCAGCUAUAGUAAUUGUGCACAAACUCAGAAUGAAUGUAUAAAAUACCAAUGGAUGUAGGAGCUUGUCCAGUUAGGCUUAAUAUAUAGACAAAUAUAUUGCAUCCACCAUCAACCUCCAGGCCAGUCUUGAAAGUAUGACUAUUUAUAAUUAUUAAUGUUGUUAUAUACUUAUAUUUUUUUCUCAGUAUGGUAAACCUAUAAUUAAUGUAAAAAGCAUGUAUUAUUGACUGGAGUAAAGGCAAAUCAGGUUUUAUUUAGUAGAUUAAAUUAUACUUCAACCUAUUUUGAUUCCCUUUUGAAAAUAGAGCAGCUCCCCUACCCUAUUUUCUAUAGGCCUACAAGAUUUUUAACACAAACAUCUAGCUUGAACAUUAGCAUGUAGCUCACCAGAACAGACACCUAGUCUCUAGACACAUGUUCAAAUAGCCAUGACACAUUUUCAAGUAGCCUAGAUGUCUCCAAUACGAUAACAGUCAUGUCACUACAACAGAGUACUAACUGAAAUCUAUCACUUAGUUUUCUUUUUCAAAGAGCGUAUAAAUGCAAUAAUUCCUGUAGAACUCUACAUUUUAACACAUGUUCUGUAUUAUAUAAAAAUAAUGGUACUGGUGGUGAAAUGCUGAUGCUAUUUUAAAUGUAGAAUGAGAACCAGAAGAAAUGAUGUUGACGAUAGAUGAUUGCAAUUGGGAUUAAAGCUGUUGUUUUAUUUAUAUUCCAGCUCCCUAGUACGUAUUUUCCCUCUUGCACACAUCCUCCCCAGACCCCAAAGCUCUUUGUGUAAAUCCAAAUUGUUAUCUUGUGACUUCACCUGAUCUUUAUUAAAGGCAAUGAACCAGCUUG